GAUUUCUGACGUGUUGCAUUGAGCCGGCCACGGUUUCGUGUGUGUGUGUUCUCUGCUCGCGUCAUCCUUCCAAGCGCCGUUCGUCUCUCUUCACUGAUUGGCGGGCGGUGUUGGAUCUUUUACUUUGAACAAAUUAGAGUGUUUCAAGCAGGCUUUAUGCUAUGAAUACAUUAGCAUGGAAUAAUAAUUUAGGACUUCGGUUCUAUUUUGUUGGUUUCUAGGACUGAAGUAAUGAUUGAUAGGGACAGUUGGGGGUGCUAGUAUUCAGCGGCCAGAGGUGAAAUUCUCGGAUUCGCUGAAGACUAACUUAUGCGAAAGCAUU
Molecule: ribosomal RNA, 322 nt
Filed under: uncultured Limnofilidae
Lineage: Eukaryota; Cercozoa; Limnofilidae
Description: bacterial SSU rRNA
Rfam family: Eukaryotic small subunit ribosomal RNA (bases 111-322)
Source: RNAcentral